UACGUAGGGGGCUAGCGUUGUCCGGAUUUAUUGGGCGUAAAGAGCUCGUAGGCGGCUUGUCGCGUCGAAUGUGAAAUCUCAGGGCUCAACUCUGACAUUGCAUUCGAUACGGGCAGGCUAGAGUUCGGUAGGGGAGACUGGAAUUCCUGGUGUAGCGGUGAAAUGCGCAGAUAUCAGGAGGAACACCGGUGGCGAAGGCGGGUCUCUGGGCCGAUAUUGACGCUGAGGAGCGAAAGCGUGGGGAGCGAACAGG
This 253-nucleotide ribosomal RNA is filed under the name uncultured bacterium. RNAcentral's name for it is "partial 16S ribosomal RNA". It matches the Rfam family "Bacterial small subunit ribosomal RNA", at positions 524 to 776 of the family's 1533-position model. The record is from RNAcentral.